Molecule: microRNA precursor, 75 nt
Filed under: Sus scrofa (pig)
Lineage: Eukaryota; Metazoa; Chordata; Mammalia; Artiodactyla; Suidae
Description: mir-197 microRNA precursor family
Rfam family: mir-197 microRNA precursor family
Source: Rfam by way of RNAcentral
GGCUGUGCCGGGUAGAGAGGGCCACGGGAGAUAAGAGCUUUUCACCCCUCACCACCUUCUCCACCCAGCAUGGCC